Molecule: long non-coding RNA, 412 nt
Organism: Poecilia latipinna (sailfin molly)
Lineage: Eukaryota; Metazoa; Chordata; Actinopteri; Cyprinodontiformes; Poeciliidae
Exons: 2
Source: RefSeq, a predicted model, not a curated record
GAACUGACGGGAUCCUGAAGAAGUCGGGAGCUGAAAGUGGAGAACGGGUGGCGGUGUGUUGAAGCUCAGCCGAGGAGCAGGUGCAGAGAGGAGGCUGGGCUUUAUUAAGGGAGCGAUGCCUUAUGAUUGGAGGAGCUAAAGAAAAGACGGGUGCCGAUAGGCUGGGACGGAGGCAUAUGAUGUGAUUGGCUGAGCAGGCAGCUGUAUGACUGUGACUGCGUGGCACAGAAAUAAAGCGACACAACUCUAAAUAUCAUUCUUGAAGAACAUCCCUAGGUUACUUGCUUUAAAAAGGAUGACAUAUCACUGAAAUGCACACAGUAACUGUGUUUAAUGAUAUUUUCAAAUUUAUUGAUGCACUCAUGGAAAUAAUAAUGGGGGUUGGGGGAAGUGAAAAUAAAAUUUCUGAUCA